This is a non-coding RNA of Acanthosepion pharaonis, 114 nucleotides long. Lineage: Eukaryota; Metazoa; Mollusca; Cephalopoda; Sepiida; Sepiidae. The record is from the annotation of a GenBank genome assembly.
UUACGGCCACAUCAUGUUGAAACAUCGGCUCCCUUACGAUCACCGAAGUUAAGCGUAGUCGAGCUUCGUCAGUAUCUAGAUGGGUGACAUCUUGAGAAUACUAGAUGUUGUAAG